GGAAAACGUGUUGCGCAUCUCUAGUUUGAUAUGAGCUUUAGUAUCUCCCCACUACAGUGCGAGAAAAGUCAGGGCAAAGGAUUGAAAAGAAGUUCACAACAAAAAAGUUUGAACACAAGCAAACCUGAAACAGAUGCAGGGUAGUAGAUCUUAAGGGUGCGUUGCUCACUCCAGGGCCUGCUGCCACCCAGAUGGCUGGCAAACACCAGGACUCCGAACACAACAGGAUUCAGGGAUUCAGACAGGAGUCUUGCUCUACCAAUUAUUAUAGGAUCUUAGAUGCCUUUCCAGUAAAGCUAACAAAAAACAAAACAAAAUAAAACCAUAUCCAAAAUACUAAACAGCUGUCUCCAAGAUCAGAAGGCAUCAGAAAAGACCCUCAAGAGUUGUCUAAUCCCAGAGGAAGAUCUUAAGUGGGGAUGUGCUCACAGCAGAAACCUUGGAAAUUUCAGGGAGUGAAAUUUUAUUGUCAGAACUUUCAAUAAAAGUGUAGCCACAGAUCCUGGGAGCAUUAAAUAAAAAUUACCAACAAGCUGUCUUACCUGUGUGCACUCCACUGAAAGGAAGGGCAAACAUGAGCAAGGAGCUCUUGUACAUCAGUCAAAAUUCUGACAGCUACCCUGUGAAGUUUGACGGGCUGCCAUGUGCUAGACUACCUAAGAUACUCUUAACUGAACCAUAAAAAG
Molecule: long non-coding RNA, 686 nt
Filed under: Homo sapiens (human)
Lineage: Eukaryota; Metazoa; Chordata; Mammalia; Primates; Hominidae
Description: non-protein coding lnc-C15orf41-7:1
Source: RNAcentral